Molecule: ribosomal RNA, 492 nt
Filed under: uncultured bacterium
Lineage: Bacteria
Description: partial 16S ribosomal RNA
Rfam family: Bacterial small subunit ribosomal RNA
Source: RNAcentral
AGUGAACGCUGGCGGUAGGCCUAACACAUGCAAGUCGAACGGCAGCACAGUAAGAGCUUGCUCUUACGGGUGGCGAGUGGCGGACGGGUGAGGAAUACAUCGGAAUCUACUUUUUCGUGGGGGAUAACGUAGGGAAACUUACGCUAAUACCGCAUACGACCUACGGGUGAAAGCAGUGGAUCUUCGGACCUUGCGCGAUUGAAUGAGCCGAUGUCGGAUUAGCUAGUUGGCGGGGUAAAGGCCCACGAAGGCGACGAUCCGUAGCUGGUCUGAGAGGAUGAUCAGCCACACUGGAACUGAGACACGGCCCAGACUCCUACGGGAGGCAGCAGUGGGGAAUAUUGGACAAGGGGCGCAAGCCUGAUCCAGCCAUACCGCGUGGGUGAAGAAGGCCUUCGGGUUGUAAAGCCCUUUUGUUGGGAAAGAAAAGCAGCAGGUUAAUACCCCGCUGUUCUGACGGUACCCAAAGAAUAAGCACCGGCUAACUUCGUG